GCUUAUCAGAAAAAAAGUUUGAAUUAUGGCGAGAAAUAAAAGUCUGAAACAUGAUUAAACUCCUAAGCAGAAAACCUACCGCGCUUCGCUUGGUCAACCCCUCAGCGGCAAAAAUUAAAAUUUUUACCGCUUCGGCGUUAUAACCUCACACUCAAUCUUUUAUCACGAAGUCAUGAUUGAAUCGCGAGUGGUCGGCAGAUU
RNAcentral lists this ribosomal RNA (201 nucleotides) under uncultured prokaryote. Its description in RNAcentral is "partial 16S ribosomal RNA". The record is from RNAcentral.